This 685-nucleotide long non-coding RNA is filed under the name Marmota monax (woodchuck). Lineage: Eukaryota; Metazoa; Chordata; Mammalia; Rodentia; Sciuridae. The record is from RNAcentral.
AGAUGGUCUGGAGAUCAACUACAGAUGGUCCAAAUAUGGUCCAUGUGGUAUCCAUAGAUAAGUGGAUCACUGAGAACACACUGGGCCCUGACAUGACCAGGAAGACACAUGGCCUGAAGCAGAUCUGUGUCUCAUUCUUGCCACCUAGGACUGGGGUGCAGGGAGGAUGCUGAAAUUAAUACACAGUACUAGUGGGUGCUUAUCGGUCGGUCAGAGAUGUGGAUCUUGACACCUCUCAUCUUCCGUACAGGGUGAUCUGAGGCUAAGCGAGGAAGGCUGGUUGCCUGGCUACCAGAUGAAUUUUGAGAGGAUUAAGUCUCAAGUGACCUAGAACAACUUUGUAGUUGGCUGGAAGACUGGUGAACUCUAGUUUUAGACUAAAGUGAAUGACAGGACAGAGUUUGGAGACUCCAUCUACCAGAAGUGAACAAGAAGUUAGAGACAACUGUCAAUCUUCUGGACAACAGGAGAUAGCUACACUCACUUUGGAACAGCAGCCAAAAGUCAGAUGGAUCGAUCCCAACAUCCAUUUCUUAGCUAACGUGAGUAACCCCCAACUGAUAGAUUUAGGAUACACUCAGGCUUAAGAAAGCCAGGUAUCAAAUCAAAUAUGUCAGGUCUACUGACUGAAUGUCCAUGUUGGUGGCUACUUUGUCUAUGUCUGGAAUCUCAAGCAUAAAUGAAC